UAUGACGGGCAGUCGCUGCCGCGCGGGCACAGGCCGGGCGGUAGAGGAAAGUCGAGACACGCACACCGGGUGUCCAAAGGACAUUUGGUGUAGUACGGUGCCCGGCGCAAGCCGGGGCAGGGCGACCUGACGACGGCCAAAGAAACCCACCGGGUUUUAAGUAGCUGUAAAGUGCCACAGAAACCAGGUCACCGGGCAACCGGUGAGUGCAAGGGUAAACUCCACCAGCGUGCAACCCAAAUAGGCAGCCUUUGAGCUGCGGGUAGGGGCACCCCCGCAAGGGGGAGGUGAGCAGCAAUGCUCGCCUAGAUAGAUGACUGUCUAGACAGAAUCUCGCUUAUAGUC
This 345-nucleotide RNase P RNA is filed under the name Desulfallas thermosapovorans DSM 6562. RNAcentral describes it as "Bacterial RNase P class B". It matches the Rfam family "Bacterial RNase P class B". From Rfam's summary of the family: Ribonuclease P (RNase P) is a ubiquitous endoribonuclease, found in archaea, bacteria and eukarya as well as chloroplasts and mitochondria. Its best characterised activity is the generation of mature 5'-ends of tRNAs by cleaving the 5'-leader elements of precursor-tRNAs. Lineage: Bacteria; Bacillati; Bacillota; Clostridia; Eubacteriales; Desulfallaceae. The record is from Rfam by way of RNAcentral.